This is a long non-coding RNA of Solanum stenotomum, 468 nucleotides long. RefSeq lists it as uncharacterized. The transcript has 3 exons. Lineage: Eukaryota; Viridiplantae; Streptophyta; Magnoliopsida; Solanales; Solanaceae. The record is from RefSeq and is a predicted model, not a curated record.
UGUCAUAUUCUUUCCUAAUGCCUUCAUUCGUUUUACGUAUCCUUGCAAGUCGAACCAACUAAGCCAAGGUAUCCAAUCUCCAAGAUUAAUCACCCCACCUAGAACAAACCACUCAUCCAACAUCCAUUGCAAUCUUUCAAGUGUUACUAUUGAUGAAGUAUCUGAGUUUGACUGAUCACUACAAUAUUUGUCACUCAUAACCAACCUACUUAUAGUACGAAGAGUAAAUUGAGGUAAAUGGUCUCUAAGAAAAAUUGGCUUUCCUGAGUGAGGAAAAAGACGAGAAAUUAAAGUUUGUCUUUCCUCAAUACGAAUAUACUCUAAUGAAUCAAGCCUCUUGGGACUAAAUAUCUCAGUUAGGUAAAUUUUUCUAGCUUGACGCCAAUAUGCACCGUAAGGUGCCCAUGUCAUGUCUGAGUAGUUAUAACUAGUGUAUUUACCAGCAGCUAAUUCAGGACGAGAUGCAAA